This 494-nucleotide ribosomal RNA is filed under the name uncultured bacterium. Its description in RNAcentral is "partial 16S ribosomal RNA". It matches the Rfam family "Bacterial small subunit ribosomal RNA", at positions 28 to 507 of the family's 1533-position model. The record is from RNAcentral.
GACGAACGCUGGCGGCGUGCUUAACACAUGCAAGUCGAACGGUGAAGCGCCUUCCUUUUUGGUGGGUGUGGAUGAGUGGCGAACGGGUGAGUAACACGUGAGUAACCUGCCCCCUUCUUCUGGAUAACCGCAUGAAAGUGUGGCUAAUACGGGAUAUUCUGGGUCUGUCGCAUGAUGGGUCUGGGAAAGAUAUUGUUUCGGUGGGGGAUGGGCUCUCGGCCUAUCAGCUUGUUGGUGGGGUGAUGGCCUACCAAGGCGGUGACGGGUAGCCGGCCUGAGAGGGUGGACGGUCACACUGGGACUGAGACACGGCCCAGACUCCUACGGGAGGCAGCAGUGGGGAAUAUUGCACAAUGGGCGCAAGCCUGAUGCAGCGACGCCGCGUGAGGGAUGGAGGCCUUCGGGUUGUGAACCUCUUUCGCCAGUGAAGCAGGCCUGCCUCGUUUGUGGGUGGGUUGACGGUAGCUGGAUAAGAAGCGCCGGCUAACUACGUG